GGCGAGCGGCGGACGGGUGAGUAAUGCCUAGGAAUCUGCCUGGUAGUGGGGGAUAACGCUCGGAAACGGACGCUAAUACCGCAUACGUCCUACGGGAGAAAGCAGGGGACCUUCGGGCCUUGCGCUAUCAGAUGAGCCUAGGUCGGAUUAGCUAGUUGGUGAGGUAAUGGCUCACCAAGGCGACGAUCCGUAACUGGUCUGAGAGGAUGAUCAGUCACACUGGAACUGAGACACGGUCCAGACUCCUACGGGAGGCAGCAGUGGGGAAUAUUGGACAAUGGGCGAAAGCCUGAUCCAGCCAUGCCGCGUGUGUGAAGAAGGUCUUCGGAUUGUAAAGCACUUUAAGUUGGGAGGAAGGGCAGUUACCUAAUACGUAAUUGUUUUGACGUUACCGACAGAAUAAGCACCGGCUAACUCUGUGCCAGCAGCCGCGGUAAUACAGAGGGUGCAAGCGUUAAUCGGAAUUACUGGGCGUAAAGCGCGCGUAGGUGGUUCGUUAAGUUGGAU
Molecule: ribosomal RNA, 507 nt
Filed under: Pseudomonas frederiksbergensis
Lineage: Bacteria; Pseudomonadati; Pseudomonadota; Gammaproteobacteria; Pseudomonadales; Pseudomonadaceae
Description: bacterial SSU rRNA
Rfam family: Bacterial small subunit ribosomal RNA
Source: RNAcentral